GACGAACGCUGGCGGCGUGCUUAACACAUGCAAGUCGAACGGAAAGGCCCUGCUUUUGUGGGGUGCUCGAGUGGCGAACGGGUGAGUAACACGUGAGUAACCUGCCCUUGACUUUGGGAUAACUUCAGGAAACUGGGGCUAAUACCGGAUAGGAGCUCCUGCUGCAUGGUGGGGGUUGGAAAGUUUCGGCGGUUGGGGAUGGACUCGCGGCUUAUCAGCUUGUUGGUGGGGUAGUGGCUUACCAAGGCUUUGACGGGUAGCCGGCCUGAGAGGGUGACCGGCCACAUUGGGACUGAGAUACGGCCCAGACUCCUACGGGAGGCAGCAGUGGGGAAUAUUGCACAAUGGGCGGAAGCCUGAUGAAGAAACGCCGCGUGCGGGAUGACGGCCUUCGGGUUGUAAAACGCUUUCGCCUGUGACGAAGCGUGAGUGACGGUAAUGGGUAAAGAAGCACCGGCUAACUACGUG
This 468-nucleotide ribosomal RNA is filed under the name uncultured bacterium. RNAcentral's name for it is "partial 16S ribosomal RNA". It matches the Rfam family "Bacterial small subunit ribosomal RNA", at positions 28 to 507 of the family's 1533-position model. The record is from RNAcentral.